Molecule: unclassified non-coding RNA, 219 nt
Filed under: uncultured Gammaproteobacteria bacterium
Lineage: Bacteria; Pseudomonadati; Pseudomonadota; Gammaproteobacteria
Description: contains 16S-23S intergenic spacer region
Rfam family: Bacterial small subunit ribosomal RNA
Source: RNAcentral
UACCCUUGACAUGUCUGGAAGCCUGCUGAAAGGUGGGUGUGCCUGAAAGGGAACCGGAACACAGGUGCUGCAUGGCUGUCGUCAGCUCGUGUCGUGAGAUGUUGGGUUAAGUCCCGCAACGAGCGCAACCCUUGUCCCUAGUUGCUACGCAAGGGCACUCUAGGGAGACUGCCGGUGACAAACCGGAGGAAGGUGGGGAUGACGUGUCGCAACUAACCA